RNAcentral lists this ribosomal RNA (279 nucleotides) under uncultured bacterium. RNAcentral's name for it is "partial 16S ribosomal RNA". It matches the Rfam family "Bacterial small subunit ribosomal RNA", at positions 336 to 611 of the family's 1533-position model. The record is from RNAcentral.
CGCCUACGGGGGGCAGCAGUGAGGAAUAUUGGUCAAUGGGCGCAAGCCUGAACCAGCCAAGUCGCGUGAGGGAUGACGGUCCUAUGGAUUGUAAACCUCUUUUGUCGGGGAGCAAGGCCCGCCACGUGUGGCGGGAAGGAGAGUACCCGAAGAAAAAGCAUCGGCUAACUCCGUGCCAGCAGCCGCGGUAAUACGGAGGAUGCGAGCGUUAUCCGGAUUUAUUGGGUUUAAAGGGUGCGUAGGCGGGUCGUCGCGUCCGGGGUGAAAGUCCAUAGCUUA